CUANCAUGCAAGUCGAGCGAACAGACGAGGAGCUUGCUCCUCUGACGUUAGCGGCGGACGGGUGAGUAACACGUGGAUAACCUACCUAUAAGACUGGGAUAACUUCGGGAAACCGGAGCUAAUACCGGAUAAUAUAUUGAACCGCAUGGUUCAAUAGUGAAAGACGGUUUUGCUGUCACUUAUAGAUGGAUCCGCGCCGCAUUAGCUAGUUGGUAAGGUAACGGCUUACCAAGGCAACGAUGCGUAGCCGACCUGAGAGGGUGAUCGGCCACACUGGAACUGAGACACGGUCCAGACUCCUACGGGAGGCAGCAGUAGGGAAUCUUCCGCAAUGGGCGAAAGCCUGACGGAGCAACGCCGCGUGAGUGAUGAAGGUCUUCGGAUCGUAAAACUCUGUUAUUAGGGAAGAACAAAUGUGUAAGUAACUAUGCACGUCUUGACGGUACCUAAUCAGAAAGCCACGGCUAACUACGUGCCAGCAGCCGCGGUAAUACGUAGGUGGCAAGCGUUAUCCGGAAUUAUUGGGCGUAAAGCGCGCGUAGGCGGUUUUUUAAGUCUGAUGUGAAAGCCCACGGCUCAACCGUGGAGGGUCAUUGGAAACUGGAAAACUUGAGUGCAGAAGAGGAAAGUGGAAUUCCAUG
RNAcentral lists this ribosomal RNA (641 nucleotides) under bacterium Ca.J24. RNAcentral's name for it is "bacterial SSU rRNA". It matches the Rfam family "Bacterial small subunit ribosomal RNA", at positions 50 to 673 of the family's 1533-position model. RNAcentral also lists the same sequence under 1 other name. The record is from RNAcentral.